UACAGAGGUCUCAAGCGUUGUUCGGAUUCAUUGGGCGUAAAGGGUGCGUAGGUGGCGCCGUAAGUCAGGUGUGAAAUUUCGGAGCUUAACUCCGAAACUGCAUUUGAUACUGCGGUGCUUGAGGACUGGAGAGGAGACUGGAAUUCAUGGUGUAGCAGUGAAAUGCGUAGAGAUCAUGAGGAAGACCAGUGGCGAAGGCGGCUCUCUGGACCGAUACUGACGCUGAGGCGCGAAAGCGUGGGGAGCAAACAGG
Molecule: ribosomal RNA, 253 nt
Filed under: uncultured bacterium
Lineage: Bacteria
Description: partial 16S ribosomal RNA
Rfam family: Bacterial small subunit ribosomal RNA
Source: RNAcentral